CCACAAAUCUCUAGAAUUAGUGGUUCAGACAUUUCAUCGAACACCUUUUGGGCGCGGAAAUGUCUGGGCUCAAAUUCAAGUUGAUCAGAAAGCAAUAGGCAUUAAGAACAACUAAUCCAAAAGGGAUCUAUCAAUCAAUACUCAACCACCUAGCAUACUGAGAAUUCUACACUAGUCUAACCCAUCCUCAGAAAUCUAUUCACUACUCAGACAUCAUUGUAGAGAACAAAAACGUUGAACAGGUUGAAAACAUAAUAACAACAGUGUAACAGCAGGAUGAUAGCAAGAUGAACAACAGUAAACAAAAAUCAAGAACAAAUACUGAAUACAAAAUAGAUAAAGAGAUAUCCGGAUUAAAAAAGGUCUAGAACAUAGUGUCUACGGAAUAAAACUAGAUAAAAACUUGUCCUCGAAAAUGUAAAGUACAUG
RNAcentral lists this small RNA (429 nucleotides) under Arabidopsis thaliana (thale cress). RNAcentral describes it as "ATSL167430". The record is from RNAcentral. Lineage: Eukaryota; Viridiplantae; Streptophyta; Magnoliopsida; Brassicales; Brassicaceae.